AAUCAACGCUGGCGGCGUGCCUCAGACAUGCAAGUCGAACGCGAAAGUCCCCCUCGGGGGACAAGUAGAGUGGCGCACGGGUGAGUAACACGUAGGUAAUCUACCUUCGGGUGGGGAAUAACAAUCGGAAACGGUUGCUAAUACCGCAUAAUGCAGCGGCACCUAAUGGUGACAGUUGUUAAAGCGGGGGAUCGCAAGAUCUCGCGCCUGAAGAGGAGCCUGCGGCGGAUAGCUAGUUGGUAGGGUAAUGGCCUACCAAGGCGACGAUCCGUAGCCGGCCUGAGAGGGCGGUCGGCCACACUGACACUGACAUACGGGUCAGACUCCUACGGGAGGCAGCAGUCGGGAAUUUUGGGCAAUGGGCGAAAGCCUGACCCAGCAACGCCGCGUGAAGGAUGAAAUCCCUCGGGAUGUAAACUUCGCAAGAACGGGAAGAAUAAGUUUGUGCUAAUACCACAAGCGAUGACGGUACUGUUU
RNAcentral lists this ribosomal RNA (477 nucleotides) under uncultured bacterium. Its description in RNAcentral is "bacterial SSU rRNA". It matches the Rfam family "Bacterial small subunit ribosomal RNA", at positions 32 to 483 of the family's 1533-position model. The record is from RNAcentral.